RNAcentral lists this ribosomal RNA (304 nucleotides) under uncultured bacterium. Its description in RNAcentral is "partial 16S ribosomal RNA". It matches the Rfam family "Bacterial small subunit ribosomal RNA", at positions 506 to 807 of the family's 1533-position model. The record is from RNAcentral.
CAGCAGCAGCCGCGGUAAUACGGAGGGGGCUAGCGUUGUUCGGAAUCACUGGGCGUAAAGCGCACGUAGGCGGCUUUGUAAGUUAGAGGUGAAAGCCCGGAGCUCAACUCCGGAAUUGCCUUUAAGACUGCAGAGCUAGCAGGCGAGAGAGGUGAGUGGAAUUCCGAGUGUAGAGGUGAAAUUCGUAGAUAUUCGGAAGAACACCAGUGGCGAAGGCGGCUCACUGGCUCAUACUGGACGCUGAGGUGCGAAAGCGUGGGGAGCAAACAGGAUUAGAUACCCCAGUAGUCCCUGUCUCUUAUAC